AUCCAUCAGCAAUGAAACAGGAACCUGAGCUGUUCCUUAGAGGGCACCCCUCUGUAAUCGUGGAGCUGUGUCACCUUCUGUAGAACAUCUGAAUCAUCAUCUGCCAAAGAGCCAACCGACCCGCCAUCCAAGCCCCAAGCAUGAACGUUGGCAAUAUCAACGAUUCAAAGGAUCGAUGUGUGACAAAACGUAACCAACCCUGAGAUGAUACUAAGAGGCACCCUGAUGAACUCCAACCACUGGGUCAUCCUUUGCAGGUGAACCCCUUGGAGAAUCAAACCCUCAAGAGUCCACCAACCGUCUUGCUCAAGCCUUCUGGAGAGACACCCCUACUCCUCGGAAGGGUCAACUGUUCCUCCGCCCAAGUCCAAAGCAUGAACGUUGGCAAUCUCAAGGAUCCGAAGGAUCCAUGUGUGUCAAAACGUAACUAUGAGAUGAUGCUAAGAGGAACUCAAACCAUCUGGGUCAUCCUUUGCAGGUGAACCCCUCGGAGAAGCAAACCCUCAAGAGUCAACCAACCGUCUUGCUCAUGCCUUCUCCAGAUACACCCCUACUCCGCCCAAGAGUUAAUUGACUCUCCGCCAAACAGUUAACCGACCCUCCGCCCAAGCCCAAAGCAUGAACGUUGGCAAUCUGAAGGAUCCAUCCAUGACAAAACGUCAUACUGAGAUGAUGCUAAGAGGCACCAUGAUGAACUCCAACCACUGGGUCAUCCUUUGCAGGUGAACCCCUUGGAGAAGAGAACCCUCAAGAGUCCAUCAACCGUCUUGCUCCAGCCUUCUCCAGAGACACCUCUACCUAAAGACAGAGACCCAAACUACAACUUGAGGAGUAGACUCCAUGGAUGUACCAAAGGUCAACUUACUGAGACAGAGAGUGUCGGAUCUUCAUUCGAGUUCCAGCCCAUCACCAGUGGAGAUGCCUUUUUACGUAAUUUAGUGUUUGUAGCUUUGAGUUUGUAACUACUUGUAUCUGGGAUGGAUCUGAAGGUUUAAUGUAUUUUUAACAAGACAAUGAAGGCUUUUCUUAACGAGCAUCAUUGUCUGCAAGAUUAAUACGUGCACAUCCUGAGUGGUGAUUCAUUCAUACUUUCCUUGUGUGGUGAUUUACCUAUAUUUACCCAUGGUGAA
This is a long non-coding RNA of Asterias rubens (European starfish), 1130 nucleotides long. RefSeq lists it as uncharacterized. The record is from RefSeq and is a predicted model, not a curated record. Lineage: Eukaryota; Metazoa; Echinodermata; Asteroidea; Forcipulatida; Asteriidae. The transcript has 5 exons.